RNAcentral lists this ribosomal RNA (253 nucleotides) under uncultured bacterium. Its description in RNAcentral is "partial 16S ribosomal RNA". It matches the Rfam family "Bacterial small subunit ribosomal RNA", at positions 524 to 776 of the family's 1533-position model. The record is from RNAcentral.
UACGAAGGGGACUAGCGUUGUUCGGAAUUACUGGGCGUAAAGCGCACGUAGGCGGCUUUGUAAGUUAGAGGUGAAAGCCCGGGGCUCAACUCCGGAAUUGCCUUUAAGACUGCAUCGCUAGAAUUGUGGAGAGGUAAGUGGAAUUCCGAGUGUAGAGGUGAAAUUCGUAGAUAUUCGGAAGAACACCAGUGGCGAAGGCGACUUACUGGACACAUAUUGACGCUGAGGUGCGAAAGCGUGGGGAGCAAACAGG